Vigna unguiculata (cowpea) is the source of this 3429-nucleotide long non-coding RNA. NCBI's taxonomy places the organism in Eukaryota, Viridiplantae, Streptophyta, Magnoliopsida, Fabales, Fabaceae. The record is from RefSeq and is a predicted model, not a curated record.
CUCGUAAAUUUUGUGAUUUUUUAAUAGUGCAGAAUAAAUAUCAUUUUCUUUUCUUUUAAUUGAAGAUCUACACUCCAAACCUUCAUCUGCCUCACACAGCCUCUAAGAUAACCCUUCUUCCACUAUGUAAUAAACCUUUCCAAUCCCCCUCUCAUCCAUGCUAUUCCAUGGCAAGGGUUCGCUAAUUCGACAUCACAAGCAACUAAUCGUUGAAAUGGCUUAGCGCUAGGGUUCAUUGCAACGACGAAUCGACGAAGAACAUGUAGUUCGACUCAGACGAAGAAGGUGAGGAGGAAGACGAAGAGAGAUUCCAGCGGUAGUGUCGGUCACGCAAAGGUGGUGGCGCAGGACACGUUGGAGCUCGGUGGAGGCUGCCAUAGCUCCGACAACGAUGGUGAAAGAGAUUUCCAGGAUUUGAAAAACUCAGCCAACCUAGUCUUCCAUGUUGUCACCAAUAAGAAAACUUAUACUCCGAUGCACACCUGAUUUGCCAUCAACUCUAUUAAUUCAACAAUUGUUGAGGAAAAUCCAGAUUGAUGACUACAUAACACACAACUUGUCAUUUGAUGACAUUAAUAAAGCUUUCGAUCUCAUGAAGGAAGGAAGUGUUUGCGUUGUGUUAUCCACAUGCCAAGAUAAUACUUUUAGUUUCUUUCUUUAUUUUUUUCUAAAAUAGUGAAAGUUAUUGUAGAAAUCAGUACCCCAUAAAAUGUAGAAACUUCUUUGCAUAGUUAUCAUUGAACAUUGAUAAGAGUUAAAUCUUGUAUUACCAAUAUUGAUCAUGCUAAUCAUAUGCUAUGCUACUUUUUGUCUUCACUCAACCAUAAAAAUUUAUAUAUGAUAAAGAAUGUGACAUUGUUUUAAAGUCUUGCAUAACACAUAAUAAACGUUUGUUUUUAUAUCAUUAAUAUUGUAAAAUAUUUUUAAAUAUAUGAAAUAUAUUUUAAUGUAAAAUGAAACAAUUUAAAAUGUAAUAUAAGUGGUUUAAAAGAGAGUAAUUUAAGAUAAUGUGGAGAGAUAUUUUUUAGUGUUGAGAAUGUCUGUUUUAGAGAGUGAAGAGUGUUAUUUAGGUUGAAAGUUCUACUUUUGAGAAAAAAAAUUAGAUACAUAAUUUUAUAGUGCAUGUUAGAAGAGAAAGGUUGCUUAUUUUAUAAAUCUUUGUGGAAUAUUUCAGUGGAUACUAGAGAAUAGGGUCAACAAAUCACUUGGUUUGAUUUUAGAAAGUGAGAUUGUUUUGCUUUAUAUAUUAAACUGGAGUUACACAACAUCAUUCACUGUUAGUAUUUUUUAGACAAAAAUGGCCUAUGGGACGACAUUUGACAGGUUGACCAAAAUAUUUUCACAAUGUUUAUCAUCUGAUUUUCAUCCCAAAAAAUUUUCCAUAUGCAAGUUUAAAUAGUAUCUUUUCCUUGUCAUCUACUUUAAUACAUUCACUUUAUGACUAUCCAUUUAUUUCUUCCUUUUCUUUCCUUUUUUUUCCAGAGUUUUGUGAAUCUUAGAGUAUUAAAUUUUGAUAAGUGCAAAUGUAUAACACAAAUACCAGAUAUACACCAUUGCACCAGUGAUGAACGGGAAAGUUUCUAUCCUUCAAGUUAUGGAGAAAAAGUUGAGCGAAUGAGUGUGGAGGAGUUUGAACGGGGCAAGCUCUGGUUAUGCGAUACUUUUUCUCUCAUAAGAAGAUGAUCAGGGAUUAUGAUGAAACUUAUCUUCUCACAAACCCUUCAGAUUGUGCUACCAAAAUGAACCACUCAAAACUAGAUAGAAAAUUUAUAGGUAACUGGUGAAUACACACCAACAGAUAACAAGAGACCAACUAAUAGAAGGAAAUAGCAGUGAGACAAAUCAUUUUUCAGUAGGCUUGUAUAGUGGUCGACAACAACUACGUCCUAAAAUGAACUUAACUUCUGAUACUAGGAUUGUGUCUAAAACAUGGCCAUAGUGUCUUCAUUGGAGUGUCAAAGGGUUAGAUUGAAUCUUAGCAUGGGUUGUGAAAACUGAUUGUAUAAUAUCAUUGUUUUGGCUUUCAUUAUUUGAAAAUCUUGAAUCUUGUAGCUGUCCUCUUAUACGUGUUAGGCUUACAUCUUUAAUUUUGAAGUUCUGCUUUUUAAUCCUUCUAUAGAGAUACGAAUUUUAAUUGAUGUCUAAUAGACAUAAAGUUUUAUGUUUUAUAAGGUGUUGAUUGUAACAUCCCAUCAGGAUAUUACGACUUUAAUAAAAAUAAAAUAAUUAAUUAAUUACACAAUAAUUAAUUAUGCCUCAAUUCCUAAAACACAGGGAAAUUUAAAAUUUUUAACAUCGUAUAAUAGAACAUCGUCUCAUAGCUCAUAAAGUGAAAUAAUGUUCCAGAGUCUCUCAAAAGUUUACAUAUCAUUUAAAAAUCCAAAACUAAUAAACAUAGUAAUAAAAAUCCCAUGAUCAUCCCCUCUCCGUAGCUAAGCCUCACCAGCUCCACCUGCAUCAUCACAUGCUCACGUGUAUCGCGUAAACGAUCAUCGCCAAACACAAGCAGAUAAGGCUGAGAAUCUUGCUGACUUCUAUGAAUAUUGCAAGGGAUUGGAACUUGCCAGGAAUUUCUAGCUUCCAACACUGAGACAGGAUUGACCUCAAUGGAGGAGAAGAGCACUGGAUGAUUAGACAUGUGCCUCAUCUACAUUUUGUCACGAAAGAUCGUGGUUUGCUAAUGAUCCAGAAAGUAGCUAAAAUUUUAUCUUCGCGUUUGCAGAGGUUCUGCUAUUGCACGUGUUCUAGGAUGCGUUGGAAGCAAAUUCUUCAUUUCAAAUUUAACACGUAUUUGCGUCGGCCAAGCCCACACAAGGCCAAUGCUAACAAUUAUAGUGCAAAUUAUUUACGUCGACUAAACCCAACAAGGCUGACGCUAACGUGCAUGGGCUUGACCCACACAUACGAAUUUAUUAUUGUAUUUUUUAUAUGUUUUUGUCGAUUGAGCUGACGAUAAGUAAGAAGCAAAUGUGCGUCCCCAUUUAGCCGACGCAAACGAGUUUUGCAUCCAGGAAAUAGGCGUGGUCCAUGUGGCCGUCGCGACAAGAUCAUCUUCUUAUCGUCGGUUUUGUGCUUGUGACGUCCAUUUUUGGCCGACGAAAAAAGCCUACAUUCUUGUAGUGGUAGUUAUUGCUACUAGCUUGAAGGAAAACGAAAAGGUGUUAUGGCGUGCUGCGGUGAAUAAAUUGAGAAGUUCUAAGCCAAUCAAUAUUCAAAAAGGUUUACGAGAUCCCUAUUAGUGUUUAUAGUUGAGCUACGAUAAUCUAGAUAUUGAAGAAUGCAGGUACAAUAUAGCUUUCUGUCCAAAAUGUUUUGGGGUUAAGCAUGUCAUGAACUUUGCUAAACAGUGUACUAAAGUGAAAGUGCACUAAACACCUUUUACAAAAUAUCCUACAAAUUUUGUAACUAAUAAUACCAUGAAUGCAAGUA